RNAcentral lists this ribosomal RNA (253 nucleotides) under uncultured bacterium. Its description in RNAcentral is "partial 16S ribosomal RNA". It matches the Rfam family "Bacterial small subunit ribosomal RNA", at positions 524 to 776 of the family's 1533-position model. The record is from RNAcentral.
UACGUAGGGUGCAAGCGUUGUCCGGAAUUAUUGGGCGUAAAGAGCUCGUAGGCGGUCUGUCGCGUCGGCUGUGAAAACCCGAGGCUCAACCUCGGGCCUGCAGUCGAUACGGGCAGACUAGAGUGUGGUAGGGGAGACUGGAAUUCCUGGUGUAGCGGUGAAAUGCGCAGAUAUCAGGAGGAACACCGGCGGCGAAGGCGGGUCUCUGGGCCAUAACUGACGCUGAGGAGCGAAAGCGUGGGGAGCGAACAGG